This 301-nucleotide ribosomal RNA is filed under the name uncultured bacterium. RNAcentral's name for it is "partial 16S ribosomal RNA". It matches the Rfam family "Bacterial small subunit ribosomal RNA", at positions 509 to 807 of the family's 1533-position model. The record is from RNAcentral.
CAGUCGCCGCGGGAAUACGUAGGUGGCAAGCGUUGUCCGGAAUUAUUGGGCGUAAAGGGCUCGCAGGCGGUUUCUUAAGUCUGAUGUGAAAGCCCCCGGCUCAACUGGGGAGGGUCAUUGGAAACUGGGAAACUUGAGUGCAGAAGAGGAGAGUGGAAUUCCACGUGUAGCGGUGAAAUGCGUAGAGAUGUGGAGGAACACCAGUGGCGAAGGCGACUCUCUGGUCUGUAACUGACGCUGAGGAGCGAAAGCGUGGGGAGCGAACAGGAUUAGAGACCCCAGUAGUCCCUGUCUCUUAUAC